RNAcentral lists this unclassified non-coding RNA (336 nucleotides) under soil metagenome. Its description in RNAcentral is "partial contains 5.8S ribosomal RNA, internal transcribed spacer 2, and large subunit ribosomal RNA". The stretch from base 1 to 120 matches the Rfam family "5.8S ribosomal RNA", at positions 35 to 154 of the family's 154-position model. The record is from RNAcentral.
GAUGAAGAACGUAGUGAAAUGCGAUAAGUAGUGUGAAUUGCAGAAUUCAGUGAAUCAUCGAAUCUUUGAACGCACAUUGCGCCCCAUGGUAUUCCGUGGGGCAUGCCUGUUCGAGCGUCAUUUACCCCCUCAAGCUCCGCUUGGUGUUGGGCGUCUGUCCCGCUUCGCGCGCGGACUCGCCCCAAAGGUAUUGGCAGCGGUAGUGCCAGCUUCUCGCGCAGCACAUUGCGCUUCUCGAGGCACCGGUGGGCCCGCGUCCAUCAAGCUCACCCCCCCAGUUUGACCUCGGAUCAGGUAGGGAUACCCGCUGAACUUAAGCAUAUCAUAAGCGGAGGA